GUUGAUAAGGUUAAGUGAAUAAGGGCGCACGGUGGAUGCCUUGGCACUAGGAGCCGAUGAAGGACGGGACUAACACCGAUAUGCUUUGGGGAGCUGUACGUAAGCUAUGAUCCAGAGAUUUCCGAAUGGGGGAACCCAACAUCUUUAAUAGGAUGUUACGAUUGUGUGAAUACAUAGCACAUUCGAGGUAGACGCAGAGAACUGAAACAUCUAAGUACCUGCAGGAAGAGAAAGAAAAUUCGAUUCCCUGAGUAGCGGCGAGCGAAACGGGAAAAGCCCAAACCAGCAAGCUUGCUUGUUGGGGUUGUAGGACUCCAAUAUGGUAGUUCUUUCAGAUAGUCGAAUGACUUGGAAAAGUCAGUCAAAGAGGGUAAAAACCCCGUAGACGAAAUGUGGAAGACACCUAGGAGGAUCCUGAGUACGGCGGAACACGAGAAAUUCCGUCGGAAUCCGGGAGGACCAUCUCCCAAGGCUAAAUACUCCCUAGUGACCGAUAGUGAACCAGUACCGUGAGGGAAAGGUGAAAAGCACCCCGGAAGGGGAGUGAAAUAGAACCUGAAACCGUGUGCCUACAACAAGUCAAAGCCCGUUAAUGGGUGAUGGCGUGCCUUUUGUAGAAUGAACCGGCGAGUUACGAUUGCAUGCGAGGUUAAGUUGAAGAGACGGAGCCGCAGCGAAAGCGAGUCUGAAUAGGGCGUUUGAGUAUGUAGUCGUAGACCCGAAACCAUGUGAUCUACCCAUGUCCAGGUUGAAGGUGCGGUAAAACGCACUGGAGGACCGAACCCACGUACGUUGAAAAGUGCGGGGAUGAGGUGUGGGUAGCGGAGAAAUUCCAAACGAACUUGGAGAUAGCUGGUUCUCUCCGAAAUAGCUUUAGGGCUAGCCUCGGAAUUGAGAAUGAUGGAGGUAGAGCACUGUUUGGACUAGGGGCCCAUCUCGGGUUACCGAAUUCAGAUAAACUCCGAAUGCCAUUCAUUCAUAUCCGGGAGUCAGACUGUGAGUGAUAAGAUCCAUAGUCGAAAGGGAAACAGCCCAGACCACCAGCUAAGGUCCCAAAAUAUAUGUUAAGUGGAAAAGGAUGUGGGGUUGCACAGACAACUAGGAUGUUGGCUUAGAAGCAGCCACCAUUUAAAGAGUGCGUAAUAGCUCACUAGUCGAGUGACCCUGCGCCGAAAAUGUACCGGGGCUAAACAUAUUACCGAAGCUGUGGAGUACACCUUUAGGUGUAUUGGUAGGAGAGCGUUCUAAGGGCGUUGAAGGCAGAUCGUGAGGACUGCUGGAGCGCUUAGAAGUGAGAAUGCCGGUAUGAGUAGCGAAAGACAGGUGAGAAUCCUGUCCACCGAAUGACUAAGGUUUCCUGGGGAAGGCUCGUCCGCCCAGGGUUAGUCGGGACCUAAGCCGAGGCCGACAGGCGUAGGCGAUGGAUAACAGGUUGAUAUUCCUGUACCCGUUGUUUUUGUUUGAGCAAUGGAGGGACGCAGGAGGCUAAGGAAUGCAGACGAUCGGAAAUGUCUGUCCAAGCAGUAAGUCUGAAGAGGAGUCAAAUGCUUCUUUUCUUAAGGA
RNAcentral lists this ribosomal RNA (1563 nucleotides) under Enterococcus faecium. RNAcentral describes it as "partial 23S ribosomal RNA". It matches the Rfam family "Bacterial large subunit ribosomal RNA", at positions 1 to 1556 of the family's 2925-position model. The record is from RNAcentral. Lineage: Bacteria; Bacillati; Bacillota; Bacilli; Lactobacillales; Enterococcaceae.